Molecule: non-coding RNA, 965 nt
Organism: Gasterosteus aculeatus aculeatus (three-spined stickleback)
Lineage: Eukaryota; Metazoa; Chordata; Actinopteri; Perciformes; Gasterosteidae
Source: RefSeq, a predicted model, not a curated record
AUCGCGGGACCAGGCUGAGGCCCCAUCUGGAUAAACUGAGUCAGAACCCAAGCACUGACAUGAGACGUGACGCAGUUAUCCGUGGCCUCAUACUAUUCCUUGGUGAAAAAGAAGAGAAACUUUUCGAAGAUUGCCUGGAGGACAAUCGCAGUGAUGCCACUCAACACAUAGUCAAGAUCCUGGUUGUCCAUGGUACUGAUGGAGAAGAACCAGUAGAUGUUUCCAUCAUUCUUGAAGGGAAGGAGGUAUUGACACGAUGCAACAGCACAGCCAAAGCUUCCACGUUGCUAAUGGGACUGAUUUAUUCCCCGAACCUUGCCUACCCCUCGACUCUGCGCUACACCUUUGAGGUGUUUCAAAAACUUUUCCUGGAACUGAAUGGGAUAAAGCUGUCACCAAAAGUACAUCUUUAAAGUUGAAGUUGCUGUCUGAAAGGAGUUUUCUUUCUUAAAUGUUCCUAAUGUUGUCAACAAAGGCAACUGCUGUCAUUCAUGCUCACAAGGUAAAGAAAAAGUUAAAAAUAACCUUUUUUUUAAAAGGUUUUAACAGAGGAUUUGAUGUUGUCCUCAAACUUUAAUGUUUUAACCGAAUGCUAAUAUAAAUAUGUUAAUGGAUGUUGUUGUUUAGAAUGUUGUUCAUGUCAGUACAGCAUAUUUUGUCAGGUCAAACCCUCAAUCUGUUUUGUCACCUGAUGUGCCCUGUUUAGUUUAAUGCGUCCAGGGGUCAAAAACAUUUUGAUUUUCCAGUGAUAUGCUUUUUUUCUGUAUAGCGUAAUGAUCACUCAGUAAAGGUAAACAUUUUUUCUUGAUUGAUGCUUUAUUGAUUUACUGCUGCUGAGAUUUCAUUUAAUUUUUUGUCAUGUGAAAUGUUGACUGCUGUUUCAUGUACAGUUCUACAUAGCUGUAUAAAAUGAGGUGUUACGUAAGGUACCUGACAAAGGUUUAUGAAUAAAUAAUGGAAUUGUA